RNAcentral lists this long non-coding RNA (263 nucleotides) under Fukomys damarensis (Damara mole-rat). RNAcentral's name for it is "lncRNA (ENSFDAG00000025329.1)". The record is from RNAcentral. Lineage: Eukaryota; Metazoa; Chordata; Mammalia; Rodentia; Bathyergidae.
AAAAAUUAAAUUUUAUGAACAUCACUGUCGGUGUUUUAUCAUUUUACUUUACUUUCUUUUUGUCUUCAUAAGAUUGAACAUCAAGUGACCCUGGAAGAACUACAAAAUCUGAAUGCACUAUUUCAGGAGCAUGAAAAGAGAGGAAGACAACUGCUGGAUAUGGAAACAUUCAAAAGCAUAAUGAAGCAGAGUAUGAAGUCCCAGAAUAAAAAUAUCGAACAGAUAGAACAACUUUUCAUGAAAAUAGACUAUGAAGCAGUGGG